Anopheles aquasalis is the source of this 587-nucleotide long non-coding RNA. RefSeq lists it as uncharacterized. The record is from RefSeq and is a predicted model, not a curated record. NCBI's taxonomy places the organism in Eukaryota, Metazoa, Arthropoda, Insecta, Diptera, Culicidae.
UUUUGGUGUGUUUAAUACUGAAAUUUGCUUUCAGUUGCUUUAAUCAUUCGACAUGGAGCACAUCUCUCGAAUUAUGCUCGCUGUUUGUGUGCUUUUGUUAAUAAGUUUUAACGUCCGCGGUCAGGAGUCCGAUUCGGCUGAACAGCAAACCACUGAACCCAGUGUUGAACCGCAGGAAAACCCAGAGCAGGAGAAUGUAACCGUGGAUGAGGAUGGCUCAACGCGUGGUGAUGAAGACGCUACACCGGGCGAGCCUAUCGGGCUGUUACCAAACAUUGUGAGCAUUAUCGUGGCACCAUGCAUGCAGGGUUACCGUGCAGAUCACAGGGGCAAAUGUCGUCCGGUCAUCUAGGCGAGUGAGUCGUUUCUGAAGACUGAAUUUAUUGUUCAAAGAGGGAUUUAGUGUUAAGCAUUAUAACUUUGUUUUGAAGCUUCAACGAUGCUUAUGUUGUAUAGUUAGAGCUCUGGACAACUUAUUUCGUGGAUGAACAUGUGUGACGCAAUUUGAACUAGAGUUCAAGGUUGCUACAAAGCGGUAACUGAUAAGGUGUACCAGGGCUACUUUGGUUUAGAGCUGCAGCUGUGCA